RNAcentral lists this ribosomal RNA (433 nucleotides) under uncultured bacterium. RNAcentral's name for it is "partial 16S ribosomal RNA". It matches the Rfam family "Bacterial small subunit ribosomal RNA", at positions 29 to 507 of the family's 1533-position model. The record is from RNAcentral.
AACGAACGCUGGCGGCAUGCCUAACACAUGCAAGUCGAACGAGAUCUUCGGAUCUAGUGGCGCACGGGUGCGUAACGCGUGGGAAUCUGCCCCUUGCUUCGGAAUAACAGUGAGAAAUUACUGCUAAUACCGGAUGAUGUCUUCGGACCAAAGAUUUAUCGGCAAGGGAUGAGCCCGCGUAGGAUUAGGUAGUUGGUGGGGUAAUGGCCUACCAAGCCGACGAUCCUUAGCUGGUCUGAGAGGAUGAUCAGCCACACUGGGACUGAGACACGGCCCAGACUCCUACGGGAGGCAGCAGUGGGGAAUAUUGGACAAUGGGCGAAAGCCUGAGCCAGCAAUGCCGCGUGAGUGAUGAAGGCCUUAGGGUUGUAAAGCUCUUUUACCAGGGAUGAUAAUGACAGUACCUGGAGAAUAAGCUCCGGCUAACUCCGUG